This 1724-nucleotide long non-coding RNA is filed under the name Bemisia tabaci. RNAcentral's name for it is "lncRNA ENSSSA3NGG004430". The record is from RNAcentral. Lineage: Eukaryota; Metazoa; Arthropoda; Insecta; Hemiptera; Aleyrodidae.
CAAUGGUAAUUACCAGUCCGAUCCGGUAUUUUCGCGCCGCGCCAGAGCAGUGCCGGAAUCCCUGCACGAGGUGAAGGUUCGCCGCCCGCAGCGCGGUUUCGUCCCUCCAUAUUCGUCCCUUUCGGCCACUCUCCAAAACUGGGCUUUUCAAUAUCCAUUUCCGGGUUUAGUUUAUCUGUUUCCGGGUCGUUCACCCCGAAGUCUGUCCACAUCAAACUGCCCGCAGUGCCCCCAUCGGUUUUUGAUAACUCUACAGGACAGCCGUCUCCUCCAUCAUCCUCGCGGAGUUUCUACUUGUUUAAUUGUUUCGUUCAAUCUUCGACGAGUUUUUCGAGUGGUCUAUAUUUGCUCUACGCAACGAGCAAGUGUUGGAUUUUUCGUGCGGGACCCAAAGGCAAUAAUUCUUUGAGGCUUAUUGAUUCACCUCCACAACCUCGAAAGGGGCAAUACCUCGGUCAUUUUUUGAAAAACGGAAACAGGAAGCAAACAUGUUUUAUUGAAGCAAAGCGCUUUUAUUCGUAGAAGCUAUUGGAUCUCCACUCUAAGCUCUUCCUCCCGUUUCCAGCUCUUUGGAUUGAAAUAUAUCUCUUGAUCGUGAUAAAGAAUAAGCCACUAAAAUAAUCGUAUGUCUCUGAAUUGAAUGAAUCUGAUUUAGAUUUGAGUUAAGUGGUAAAUUGGAUGUCAGCGAUGGAUAUAGCAAUAUUGAAAUUCAAGUACAAAUGGACACACGAACAUGAAAUGCUCCUCAGUCAGCAAAGGACGAACUGAGAGACUGAAAUAUGUGCUUUGCACUACUUUAAAAGUUCUCUGAAGAUAUUUUAAGAUUUGCAGCUCCUCGCGCAGUUUUAAUUCAAACCUCCCCCGAGAACCGGAGGGACCUGAUUUUGUGGCUUUGUUUGUUGAAGCGUAGCAGGUUAUUGAUGAAAACUUUAACCAAAAUUAUUGUAACUUUUUACGGAUACUACAAACUGUUUCGGAAUAAUCUGAACUGUGGCUUUCUUGAAUUUGGGCAGACCUUUGAAUUGUCUGAGACCAACAUCUAUAAACGUAUAAAACAGAAAAUAGGAUCCAAGAAAAAUUGCCCGUUUUACUCAGCGGUUUCUUGAUCAAUGUGCCAGAUAAGUUGGACAAAGGUAUAAAGUUAAAAAUUCGAAAUAUAUUAUGACAAAAUGUAUUCAUCCAGAUAUAAUGGAAGUAUUGUGAAUUCAUUUUCUGAUUAGAAAUUCAUAUCUUCUAAAAUUGAUAUCAAAUUUUUAGGAAAAUUUUCGCAGAACAAAAUUUUUCUCGUUCGUUGAAACCGAUCGACAUUUUACUCACAUUUAAAUUUCUUUUGCUGAGGAAAAACACACUGUGAAAACGCUCUCCUUUGGUGAGUUGCAGUUUAAGUGAAUUAAGUGGGAAAACCAAAUAGAUGCUUACUAUAUUUUCACACGAUUGAAAAGAGUAACAAUUUCAAAUUUCGAUUUUGAAAGAUCGGAGAAUUGUAUCUGAUAAUAAUGUUCCUGAACUGCCAUCUCUCGUUUCCGAUCAUUGACGUAAUUUGAUAUUUCUCCACAAAUUUUGAAUUGCAUUUCUCGUUUGAAAGGAUUUUAAGACCCAGCAAGAUUAGCUGUCUCAAAUAAUAACAAGGAUUGAUAUAAGAGAAAUAAGCAUCUUUGCCUUGUUUUGAAAUACGACUGAGCAAAUUGGAAGAAUGCCAAAGCUUUAUUAAUCGAAAAAAUUUU